RNAcentral lists this ribosomal RNA (177 nucleotides) under uncultured bacterium. RNAcentral's name for it is "partial 16S ribosomal RNA". The record is from RNAcentral.
CCGAUGGACGUAAUUUGGGCUGAGAUGGACGCAAGCCUGAUCCAGUCCAGUCCAUGCCGCGUGCAGGAUGAAGGCCUUCGGGUUGUAAACUGCUUUUGUCCGGAACGAAAAGGUCUCUUCUAAUAUAAGGGGCUCCUGACGGUACCGUGACAGAAUAAGCACCGGCUAACAUACGUG